Molecule: ribosomal RNA, 600 nt
Filed under: Symmetrospora coprosmae
Lineage: Eukaryota; Fungi; Basidiomycota; Cystobasidiomycetes; Symmetrosporaceae
Description: eukaryotic LSU rRNA
Rfam family: 5.8S ribosomal RNA (bases 176-329)
Source: RNAcentral
UCCGUAGGUGAACCUGCGGGAGGGUCAUUAAUGAAAUUCAAGGGCGCUCUUUUUAGAGGUCCGACCAAUUACAUUUUACCUUUACUCUGUGCACACACUACUCUUUACACCAUUUUUUAACUCUAUAGUUUUAAGAAUGUAAAACAAGUCUCGAAAGAGCAACAUAACAAAACAAAACUUUCGGCAACGGGUCUCUUGGCUCUCGCAUCGAUGAAGAACGCAGCGAAAUGCGAUACGUAAUGUGAAUUGCAGAAUUCAGUGAAUCAUCGAAUCUUUGAACGCACCUUGCACUCUUUGGUAUUCCGAAGAGUAUGUCUGUUUGAGUGUCAUGAAACUCUCAACCCCCUCAUUUUGUAAUGAAGUGAGUCGUGGGCUUGGGUUAUGGCUGUCUGUCGGCUUCAUUGCCGGCUCAGCUGAAAUACACGAGUAACCCAGUUUGAAAAACUGACGGCUUGACUCGGCGUAAUAAUUAUUAUCGCUGAGGGCGUCUAACCUUCAAAUCGUUAGUGGUGCUUCUAAUGCAAAUCAUUUUAAGAUUUAGACCUCAAAUCAGUCAGGGUUACCCGCUGAACUUAAGCAUAUCAAUAAGCGGGGGGAAAG